Anolis carolinensis (green anole) is the source of this 697-nucleotide long non-coding RNA. RefSeq lists it as uncharacterized. Lineage: Eukaryota; Metazoa; Chordata; Lepidosauria; Squamata; Anolidae. The transcript has 3 exons. The record is from RefSeq and is a predicted model, not a curated record.
GUGUCCACAGGGGGGAAGCAUUACUCCGAAAGGGAGGCAAAAGGAAGCUCAGUUUAAUGCAGAGCAUUUGAUACAGACAUGUGAAAAUGGGAAGGAGAUAUUGCUGUGACUUGAAGUACAUAAAGCAACGCCAUGGCUUCAAGGCAGAAGGUUGCAGAACACUAGAAAUAUCCCAUACAGAGUCCAGAAUCCUACUCCAACACCCAAACCAAGACAUCAUGCCAGAUGAAGGUAUUGACAAUUCAGCUCUGAAGAAAGUCUCCACUCACUUUAACUGAAACUUCUCCUCCUAUUACAAAACCCACAUGAUGGCUGUCAAGGCUGAUUCUUGGGCUCUUCUGAAGAUUAAGAAAAACCCUUGCAGAUAGAAAGCCAGGUCUGGGAGCAGGACAGAGACACAAGUUGGCUGGCAGCGCAGACCUUGAUGGAAGAUCUACCAACUGUGGGAUCGUGGGAGUCCAGAUCUUUUGGAUGCUUCCAACUGGAGAUAAACAUUCUUCUCCAACGUGAUCCAAGAGAAGACAACAGGGACAACACAUAAUGGUUCCCACACUGAACCACAUCCAGUUUCUCUUGUGCCAGCCAUGAUUUCUCCAAAACCAACCUCUCCUUCUCUGUUACUUCAUCACUAGUAACAGAGUCCCUCCGGGGAGAUAGUGUGGAAUUUAAAUAAAGAUGAUUACGACGACAAUGAUGA